This 426-nucleotide ribosomal RNA is filed under the name uncultured bacterium. RNAcentral describes it as "partial 16S ribosomal RNA". It matches the Rfam family "Bacterial small subunit ribosomal RNA", at positions 354 to 796 of the family's 1533-position model. The record is from RNAcentral.
GUGAGGAAUUUUCCGCAAUGGGCGAAAGCCUGACGGAGCAAUGCCGCGUGAAGGAUGAAGGCCUAUGGGUUGUAAACUUCUUUUCUCAGAAAAGAAUUAUGACGGUAUCUGAGGAAUAAGCAUCGGAUAACUCUGUGCCAGCAGCCGCGGUAAGACAGAGGAUGCAAGCGUUAUCCGGAAUGAUUGGGCGUAAAGCGUCUGUAGGUUGUUUAAAAAGUAUUCUGUCAAAGAUUAGGGCUUAACCCUAGAUAGGCAGAAUAAACUUUUAAGCUAGAGUUUGGUAGAGGCAGAAGGAAUUCCCGGUGGAGCGGUGGAAUGCGUAGAUAUCGGGAGGAACACCAAAUGCGAAGGCACUCUGCUGGGCCAAUACUAACACUGAGAGACGAAAGCGAGGGGAGCAAAUGGGAUUAGAAACCCGUGUAGUCC